CACCAGAUCAAAGGCAUCACUGGGCAUUGCGAAAGCAAGGUGCUAUCUGGGCCGGCCGCUGCACUUAAAACUGCGGUACCCCAAAGUGGCUGAUGGGAAACCUGAUCUUUAGAGGUCUGCCUCUUCAACCUUUUCUCACGUGUUCCCCUCUGAGGCAAACAGAGCCUUCAAGUUGAGCGUUGGUCUCCUUUGUGCUCUGAGGAUUGUCUGGCUUGAAGUUGAACACAAUUAGGGAGAGAAGAGGUGAUAGUCUGUGGAUAUCCAAAAAGCAGCCCUCAACUCUGAGCCAACACAAAGCGGUGGAAAGAUUUUUCCCGCGAGAUCCCGUCAAAGAUGAAGCUUGACCACUUGCACAAUUUACCAACGUCUGAGGCGACCAGAAGUUACUCUUUCACCAGCAGUGACGGAACACGAUGUGUUGCAUGGAGAAGAUAUGAUGGAACCUUCUACAAAACCCAAGAACCUGAAGUGACUGCAGAUCCAUUGACCACAGCAGUCACUAGUGGCUCAGUGG
Sardina pilchardus (European sardine) is the source of this 514-nucleotide long non-coding RNA. RefSeq lists it as uncharacterized. Lineage: Eukaryota; Metazoa; Chordata; Actinopteri; Clupeiformes; Clupeidae. The transcript is spliced from 3 exons. The record is from RefSeq and is a predicted model, not a curated record.